RNAcentral lists this ribosomal RNA (433 nucleotides) under uncultured bacterium. Its description in RNAcentral is "partial 16S ribosomal RNA". It matches the Rfam family "Bacterial small subunit ribosomal RNA", at positions 29 to 507 of the family's 1533-position model. The record is from RNAcentral.
AGCGAACGCUGGCGGCAGGCCUAACACAUGCAAGUCGAACGAACUCUUCGGGGUUAGUGGCGGACGGGUGAGUAACACGUGGGAACGUGCCUUUUGGUUCGGAAUAACUCAGGGAAACUUGUGCUAAUACCGAAUGUGCCCUUCGGGGGAAAGAUUUAUCGCCAUUAGAGCGGCCCGCGUCUGAUUAGCUAGUUGGUGAGGUAACGGCUCACCAAGGCGACGAUCAGUAGCUGGUCUGAGAGGAUGACCAGCCACACUGAGACUGAGACACGGCCCAGACUCCUACGGGAGGCAGCAGUGGGGAAUCUUGCGCAAUGGGCGAAAGCCUGACGCAGCCAUGCCGCGUGAAUGAUGAAGGUCUUAGGAUUGUAAAAUUCUUUCACCGGGGACGAUAAUGACGGUACCCGGAGAAGAAGCCCCGGCUAACUUCGUG